This 465-nucleotide ribosomal RNA is filed under the name uncultured bacterium. Its description in RNAcentral is "partial 16S ribosomal RNA". It matches the Rfam family "Bacterial small subunit ribosomal RNA", at positions 29 to 507 of the family's 1533-position model. The record is from RNAcentral.
AAUGAACGUUGGCGGCGUGGCUUAGGCAUGCAAGUCGAGCGCGAACCCCGCAAGGGGGGACAGUGGCGAAAGGGACAGUAAUUUGUAGAUUAUCUGCCCCCCGGUCCGGGAUAGCUGCGGGACACUGCAGAUAUUACCGGAUAACAUCCCAGGAUCACAGGUGUGAUUUCGCCUCAGGAUGAGUCUGCAUCCUAUUAGCUAGUUGGUGGGGUAAUGGCCUACCAAGGCAUUGAUGGGUAGCAGGUGUGAGCGCACGACCUGCGUCAUUGGGACUGAGACACUGCCCAGACACGUACGGGUGGGUGCAGACGAGAAGCCUCGGCAAUGGGGGCAAGCCUGGCAGAGCGACGCGGCGUGUGGGAUGAAGGCGAUCGUGUUGUAAACCACUAUCAGAGGGGAUGAAGUGCAGGUGGGUACUCCCAACUGUUAGGCAAAGCCUCAGAGGAAGGACGGGCUAAGUUCGGG